UUUAGUUUCCUUGUCAUUUUUCACACACACAAAAAAAAGUCUCGUUUCAAAGUUCAAACCCUGGUUUUGAAAUCGCAACGAUCCAUGUAUUAAAAAAACUUGCAGCUGUUUUGAGUGAGAGAGGGACCAGAAAUCACUGAGGCUUCACUAGCACCGGCAGGAACGGCGGGAGUAGUUAAAGUAACAGUGAAGAUGGAUGAUGGUGGUGGGAUGCGUAACAAGCAUUCGAAGAAGAGAGGAGGAGGAGAAACCAUGGAGGCUUCACUAGUAGGAAAAGUAACACUGAAGAUGGAUGGUGGUAGUGGUGGUGAGAUCUGUAACAACGCUGAUUUGAAGAAGAAGAGGAAGAAGAAGAAAGAAUAAUACUGAUGGUCCAGAAGCGAUGCUGUAUCUGAGGAGAUGUGUAACAAAUAACAACACGAAAUUGAAGAAAAUAAAUAGUAGUGAAGUGACACAAGAAACACCUUUCUUCUACAUUCCUCCUGGUCCUGAAACAACUUUUCCUGGAAGUAGUGCAGUAACACAAGAAACAUCUCUCAUCUUCAUCCCUCCUGGUCCUGUAGUUGUAACAAGACUAUGUGGUUGGUUGAUAUUUGCAGAAACAACUUUUCCUGGAAGUAGUGAAGUAACACAAGAAACAUCUCUCAUCUUCAUCCCUCUUGGUCUUGAAAAACUUCCCCUGGAAGUAGUAAAGAGACACAAGAAAUAUAUCUCUUCUUCAUGCCUCCUGGUUCUGAAACAAUGUGGACAUUGCGAAAAGUCAAUGGUGAUUACGUGUCUCGCCGUCCUGAAGGAAAUUUUCUUAUUACCUUUUCAUGGGAUUAUCAGAUUUGCUUUUGGGAAAUAAAGAAACCAGAAAUAAGUACUGGGAAUGUGCCAGAAGAAGCAACUAUUUGUUGCCAACCAACAUCGGAUUCCGCUUGCACCAUUGAUGCAACUACCAUUUUCUCUGGUGGUAAAGUUAUGCUAUGGGUACUAAUGUCAGGAUGUCAGCCUGUGCUGGGUGGAGCCGUUAAUGAAGCUGCAUGGCUACCUGGGAUGUAGGGCUGUUCAUGGUCGGUUUUGGUUCGGUUUCUAGCCAAACCAAAACCGAAGCCAAUAUUAUUGGUUUCUAAAAAUCUAAACCAAACCAAUCCAUUAACCAU
This is an RNA transcript of Papaver somniferum (opium poppy), 1145 nucleotides long. RefSeq lists it as uncharacterized. The transcript is spliced from 8 exons. The record is from RefSeq and is a predicted model, not a curated record. NCBI's taxonomy places the organism in Eukaryota, Viridiplantae, Streptophyta, Magnoliopsida, Ranunculales, Papaveraceae.